AUAACUAAGCGGAGGAAAAGAAACUAACCAGGAUUCCCUCAGUAACGGCGAGUGAAGCGGGAUGAGCCCAGCACCGAAUCCCCCGGCCGAACGGCCGGCGGGAACUGUGGUGUGCGGGACGCCACCAGCCGCGCGGGCGGGCGCUGAAGUCCUCCUGAUCGAGGCCUCUCCCACAGUGGGUGUAAGGCCUUUGCUGGUGCCGGCGCGCGCGGCCGCGAGCGUCCCAGGAGUCGGGUUGUUUGGGAAUGCAGCCCAAAGUGGGUGGUAAACUCCAUCUAAGGCUAAAUACUGGCGCGAGUCCGAUAGCGGACAAGUACCGUGAGGGAAGGUUGAAAAGAACUUUGAAGAGAGAGUUCAAGAGUACGUGAAACUGCCCAGAGGCAAACGGGCGGACCCGCAAAGUCGGCCGGCGGAAUUCAGCCCGGCCGGGGGAAGGGGGGCGAGCGUGGCGCGGAUCUCCGGACCGCCCCGUGGCCCCUUGCCGAUCCCCCGCCGGGUGCACUUUGCGUCGGCCGAACGCCACGACCGGCUCCCGGCCGGCCAUGAGCCCGGCGAGGAAGGUGGGCGGCGGGUUUUUCCCCUCGUGGGAUUGCCGGCCGCAGUUACAGCCUCGCCGCGGAUCGGGCCCGGCUUCGAGGGGGCCGAGGAACUUCCGCGCCCCGCAGCAGGCCGCCGGGCCGAGGGCGGGGGUCACGACCGGCGGGGACUGGGCAACCGUGCCCGCCGACUGCCCCCGCUCGACGACCCGGCACGCCCGGUGGGCGCCGCGGGUUGGUGGCGAUGAUGUCGGGGAUCCGCCCGACCCGUCUUGAAACACGGACCAAGGAGUCUGGCGUGCGCGCGAGUCGCGGGGUAGUACGAAACCCGCGGGCGCAGUGAAAGCGAGGGCCUCCUAGGGAUGGCCCAGGCGGGAUCCUGUCUCCCUGCGGGGUGGCGGGCGCACCGCCGCCCCGUCCUGGCCGCGUCGGCGGCGGGGCGGAGCGAGAGCGCGCGCGCCGGGACCCGAAAGAUGGUGAACUAUGCCUGAGCAGGGCGAACAGGGGAAACUCUGGUGGAGGCCCGCAGCGAUUC
RNAcentral lists this ribosomal RNA (1071 nucleotides) under Felimare villafranca. RNAcentral describes it as "eukaryotic LSU rRNA". It matches the Rfam family "Eukaryotic large subunit ribosomal RNA", at positions 42 to 886 of the family's 3401-position model. The record is from RNAcentral. Lineage: Eukaryota; Metazoa; Mollusca; Gastropoda; Nudibranchia; Chromodorididae.